Molecule: transfer RNA, 73 nt
Filed under: Mustela putorius furo (domestic ferret)
Lineage: Eukaryota; Metazoa; Chordata; Mammalia; Carnivora; Mustelidae
Rfam family: tRNA
About the family: Transfer RNA (tRNA) molecules are approximately 80 nucleotides in length. Their secondary structure includes four short double-helical elements and three loops (D, anti-codon, and T loops). Further hydrogen bonds mediate the characteristic L-shaped molecular structure. tRNAs have two regions of fundamental functional importance: the anti-codon, which is responsible for specific mRNA codon recognition, and the 3' end, to which the tRNAs corresponding amino acid is attached (by aminoacyl-tRNA synthetases). tRNAs cope with the degeneracy of the genetic code in two manners: having more than one tRNA (with a specific anti-codon) for a particular amino acid; and 'wobble' base-pairing, i.e. permitting non-standard base-pairing at the 3rd anti-codon position.
Source: Rfam by way of RNAcentral
ACCUGGCUUGCUUGGUUGGUAGAGCGUGUGAUUCUUGAUCUCGGGUUUAUGGGUUUGAGCCCCAUGCUGGGUG